AGCAAACAGGAUUAGAUACCCUGGUAGUCCACGCUGUAAACGAUGUCGAUUUGGAGUUUGGGGGCAUGACCCUUGGGCUCCGGAGCUAACGCGUUAAAUCGACCGCCUGGGGAGUACGGCCGCAAGGUUAAAACUCAAAUGAAUUGACGGGGGCCCGCACAAGCGGUGGAGCAUGUGGUUUAAUUCGAUGCAACGCGAAGAACCUUACCUGGUCUUGACAUCCAUAGAAUCUUUCAGAGAUGAGAGAGUGCCUUCGGGAGCUAUGAGGCAGGUGCUGCAUGGCUGUCGUCAGCUCGUGUUGUGAAAUGUUGGGUUAAGUCCCGCAACGAGCGCAACCCCUAUCCUUUGUUGCCAGCACGUAAUGGUGGGAACUCAAAGGAGACUGCCGUUGAUAAAGCGGAGGAAGGUGGGGACGACGUCAAGUCAUCAUGGCCCUUACGACCAGGGCUACACACGUGCUACAAUGGCGUAUACAAAGGGAUGCGAAGGUGCGAACUGGAGCGGACCUCACAAAGUACGUCUAAGUCCGGAUUGGAGUCUGCAACUCGACUCCAUGAAGUCGGAAUCGCUAGUAAUCGUGAAUCAGAAUGUCACGGUGAAUACGUUCCCGGGCCUUGUACACACCGCCCGUCACACCAUGGGAGUGGGUUGCACCAGAAGUAGAUAGCUUAACCUUCGGGAGGGCGUUUACCACGGUGUGGUUCAUGACUGGGGUGAAGUCGUAACAAGGUAACCA
This 736-nucleotide ribosomal RNA is filed under the name uncultured Enterobacteriaceae bacterium. RNAcentral's name for it is "bacterial SSU rRNA". It matches the Rfam family "Bacterial small subunit ribosomal RNA", at positions 767 to 1502 of the family's 1533-position model. The record is from RNAcentral. Lineage: Bacteria; Pseudomonadati; Pseudomonadota; Gammaproteobacteria; Enterobacterales; Enterobacteriaceae.